GGGCGCGUAGCUCAGGGGUAGAGCGCUACAUUGACACUGUAGAGGUCAGAGGUUCGAGACCUCUCGCGCCCA
This 72-nucleotide transfer RNA is filed under the name Candidatus Acidiferrales bacterium. RNAcentral's name for it is "tRNA-Val". It matches the Rfam family "tRNA". From Rfam's summary of the family: Transfer RNA (tRNA) molecules are approximately 80 nucleotides in length. Their secondary structure includes four short double-helical elements and three loops (D, anti-codon, and T loops). Further hydrogen bonds mediate the characteristic L-shaped molecular structure. tRNAs have two regions of fundamental functional importance: the anti-codon, which is responsible for specific mRNA codon recognition, and the 3' end, to which the tRNAs corresponding amino acid is attached (by aminoacyl-tRNA synthetases). tRNAs cope with the degeneracy of the genetic code in two manners: having more than one tRNA (with a specific anti-codon) for a particular amino acid; and 'wobble' base-pairing, i.e. permitting non-standard base-pairing at the 3rd anti-codon position. The record is from RNAcentral. Lineage: Bacteria; Pseudomonadati; Acidobacteriota; Terriglobia; Candidatus Acidiferrales. RNAcentral also lists the same sequence under 1 other name.